UUACUUUGUUGCUUUGGCGAGCUGCCUUCGGGCCUUGUAUGCUCGCCAGAGAAAACCAAAACUCUUUUUAUUAAUGUCGUCUGAGUACUAUAUAAUAGUUAAAACUUUCAACAACGGAUCUCUUGGUUCUGGCAUCGAUGAAGAACGCAGCGAAAUGCGAUAAGUAAUGUGAAUUGCAGAAUUCAGUGAAUCAUCGAAUCUUUGAACGCACAUUGCGCCCCUUGGUAUUCCGGGGGGCAUGCCUGUUCGAGCGUCAUUUCAACCCUCAAGCUUAGCUUGGUAUUGAGUCUAUGUCAGUAAUGGCAGGCUCUAAAAUCAGUGGCGGCGCCGCUGGGUCCUGAACGUAGUAAUAUCUCUCGUUACAGGUUCUCGGUGUGCUUCUGCCAAAACCCAAAUUUUUCUAUGGUUGACCUCGGAUCAGGUAGGGAUACCCGCUGAACUUAAGCAUAU
RNAcentral lists this ribosomal RNA (450 nucleotides) under Sclerotiniaceae sp. RNAcentral describes it as "eukaryotic LSU rRNA". The stretch from base 103 to 256 matches the Rfam family "5.8S ribosomal RNA". The record is from RNAcentral. Lineage: Eukaryota; Fungi; Ascomycota; Leotiomycetes; Helotiales; Sclerotiniaceae.